This is a non-coding RNA of Danio rerio (zebrafish), 522 nucleotides long. The record is from Ensembl. Lineage: Eukaryota; Metazoa; Chordata; Actinopteri; Cypriniformes; Danionidae.
UCAAAUGACUUGCAGUCUUGACAGACAGGACGGCAAUUCACCCACACACCAUCAACCAAGUGAAUGACUAUCUGAACUCGGCUCGGCUUCAUCGCUCUCAGUGGUGAAGAUGGAUUGCAUUCGUAGAGAUGAAGAGCGGGAGAAAAAAUUUAAAACAUCUGGGGUUUUUAGAGCGAGUCCAUGGGAAAAGAUCUCUCGGCAAGGAAAGACGUUUUAUCAUUUGGAGAAAUGAAUGCACUGCAUGAUCCUCCUCACUCACUGUUUAGUUUGUCACUUCCAGAUCAACAUAAGGUGUUGGAUGGUGGAAGGGUGUUGCGAACGAAGGACGAAAAGUGGACAGCGGGGGGUUGUCAUGGACGAAAGUGAAGAGGGUUGGUGAGUCGCGGAAGAGAUUGAAAGUGAACAGCAGAAGGGUGAAGGGUAGUUGAGGAGGGGAUCGCUAAAAUCAGUUGGUUCUGGAUCUGGCGUGUUCCGUCACAAAUUAAGCCCUGACUAAAACACUGGUUAUCUCACAAGCUGCUG